This 475-nucleotide ribosomal RNA is filed under the name uncultured bacterium. RNAcentral describes it as "bacterial SSU rRNA". It matches the Rfam family "Bacterial small subunit ribosomal RNA", at positions 328 to 793 of the family's 1533-position model. The record is from RNAcentral.
CUCUGUGACUCCUACGGGAGGCAGCAGUGGGGAAUAUUGCACAAUGGGCGCAAGCCUGAUGCAGCCAUGCCGCGUGUGUGAAGAAGGCCUUCGGGUUGUAAAGCACUUUCAGUUGUGAGGAAGGUGGUGUCGUUAAUAGCGGCAUCAUUUGACGUUAGCAACAGAAGAAAGCACCGGCUAACUCCGUGCCAGCAGCCGCGGUAAUACGGAGGGUGCGAGCGUUAAUCGGAAUUACUGGGCGUAAAGCGCAUGCAGGUGGUUUGUUAAGUCAGAUGUGAAAGCCCGGGGCUCAACCUCGGAACUGCAUUUUGAAACUGGCAGACUAGAGUACUGUAGAGGGGGGUAGAAUUUCAGGUGUAGCGGUGAAAUGCGUAGAGAUCUGAAGGAAUACCGGUGGCGAAGGCGGCCCCCUGGACAGAUACUGACACUCAGAUGCGAAAGCGUGGGGAGCAAACAGGAUUAGAUACCCUGGUAG